This 25-nucleotide non-coding RNA is filed under the name Trypanosoma brucei brucei. Lineage: Eukaryota; Euglenozoa; Kinetoplastea; Trypanosomatida; Trypanosomatidae. The record is from RNAcentral.
ACAUAAUCUGACUUGUCGGAGUAUC